Molecule: ribosomal RNA, 819 nt
Filed under: uncultured eukaryote
Lineage: Eukaryota
Description: SSU rRNA
Rfam family: Eukaryotic small subunit ribosomal RNA
Source: RNAcentral
GGGUGUUUAACUGGCGUGAAGUGGGACGUCCUUCCGGUGGGCUUAGCCUCACCAGGGGUGGCCCACCUCCUAUCCCGUCGCGGUGCUCUUUACUGAGUGUCGAGUCCGGCCGGUACGUUUACUUUGAACAAAUUACAGUGCUUAAAGCAUGCUAUCCUCGGCUGAAUACUGCGUGCAUGGAAUAAUGGAAUAGGACCUCGGUUCUAUUUUGUUGGUUUUCGGAACCCCGACGUAAUGAUUAAUAUGGACAGAUGGGGGCCUUCUUAUUGCGACGUUAGAAGGGAAACUCUUGGAUCGUCGGCAGACGGACAGAAGCGAAAGCAUUUGCCAAAUAUGUUUUCAUUAAUCAAGAACGAAAGUUAGAGGUUUGAUGGCGAUCAGAUACCGCCCUAGUUCUAACCAUAAAUGAUGCCAGCUAGCGAUCCGCCGAAGUUCCUCCGAUGACUCGGCGGGCAGCUUCCGGGAAACCAAAGCUUUUGGGUUCCGGGGGAAGUAUGGUUGCAAAGCUGAAAUUUAAAGGAAUUGACGGAAGGGCACCACCAGGAGUGGAGCCUGCGGCUUAAUUUGACUCAACACGGGAAACCUCACCAGGCCCAGACACCGGAAGGAUUGACAGAUUGAUAGCUAUUUCUUGAUUCGGUGGGUGGUGGUGCAUGGCCGUUUUUAGUUGGUGGAGAGAUUUGUGUGGUUAAUUCCGAUAACGAACGAGACUCUAGCCUGCUAAAUAGGCGUACCUUAUGGUAUCGCGAAGGCCCCCGGCUUCGGCCGGUGGGUUUUUACUACCAACGUACAAACAAAUCUUUUUAGAGGGACAGGCGG